This 2169-nucleotide long non-coding RNA is filed under the name Marmota monax (woodchuck). The record is from RNAcentral. Lineage: Eukaryota; Metazoa; Chordata; Mammalia; Rodentia; Sciuridae.
AGCUGGGCCCACCCCUGCAGCCCGAUCAGCUUCUGAGCCCCUGCAGGAAGGGGUAGGGGGUUGGCACAGCCCUUGAGUCCUGGCAAGUGCAGCUGUCUCCAGGUGGGAGGCCCCUCAGGCAGCCUCGGGGUUCAGGUGGCCUGGGUUGGAGGAGGUCACCGCCAGGUUGGAGGCUAAGGUGGGGCUGCAGCCAUGAAGGGGAAGUGGAGCUGGGAAAUGAACAAGAAUGAAUUGGUGGUGGUGGCUAAUGGGAAGAGACCUUGAUCUAUCCCAGGCAGCCACCUGUGAGCUACAUUCUGGGAAAAGCCUAGCCAGGUGGCCUGGGACCAAGAUAACCAACUUUGGGUCAAACUUGUCUCCAGUCCCUAGUUCCACCUGGGCAAGAAUGUUGCACACACAGUUUCAAUCCCCAAGUGUUACCUUACCCCCGAGCUCUGCUGAUCAGACCUGCUAUCUUCCCAGGGAGAACUUGAGGAACCCUGGAUUGGGCUCUUGUAUUAGGGCCCACCCCUAUCAGCCAGCCUCAGGGACCUGCCCACCCUCAUCCUUUUCCCCUGCCCUGUUUUGGGUAUUUCUCUCUCCUUGUAGGAGAAAGACACAACAUGGUGCCUGAGCAUGAGAGAUUUUGCAGGGUUCAUAAGCAGAGAACUUGUAUUUUCCACCCCACCCACAUACUCCCCUGCCUCAUUGUGGCUACCUCUUCUGAGUAGCACCCACUAUGUGCCACCAUACCACAGUCCAUGGAUCUCAGCCUUCUCCUGACACCACACUGUGGGAAAGUUGGUAUUUGCUUGCUUGCUGCGCUCCCAUGGGCUGUGGCACAGAUAAGAUAGACGGCAGCCUGUGUGCAAAUUCCCAGGGGAUUAGCUAUCACUCCACCCCUUUAUCUCCCAUUAGGAAGGCCUUGGGGAAUGCCAGUGGGAGAGAGGGAUGUCAUUGCAGAGAAAACACUGAAUUCACUGAUAUUUAUCCCCCCUCCCCAAGUUUCAACUUUCUCUGAUUUAACUGUUUAUAGCUAUACAUUAUUGGUCACACACUUAACAGUUUUCUGAGACGUGGUAUGUCCCAGUGCUGACCCUUAGCCAUCUCUUAGCAGAUUCUCACAAAAGUGUGAGGUGGAUGUUACCAUAUUAUUAUUGCCCCGAUUUUAUCCCCAGAUGAAGACACUGGGUCUCAGAGAGGACAAGAAACUUGCCAAAGACCACACCGCAAUUAACCAGAGAAUCAGGAAUUUAUCCCAGGGCCACCUGACUGAAGGUCCAGCUGAGCCUGUGCAAUUUCAGGCUUAGCCAGGAGUGGAGCUUUGGAGGGACUGGGGAAUGAAAGGUGUUGGAGUGGGGUUCAUCUGUAAACUAAAGGAAAUAAUUCCUCAUAAACCUGCCGUGAAAAUCACAUGCAAUCCGUGUGGCCAGCACUUUGAAUAGUGAAUGCUAGCACAUAAUAAGUGCUCAAGAAACACGGGGGAAUAAAGGUGGGGUUUGUGUGGACAGUCAGCUGGGAGAGAGCUGAUGCCAGGACCUAUCUCUACUGAAUGGGGUCAAAGAUGCUUUGAGUAGCCCUAGCUGCACUCCAACAAUAACAUUUUCAAGGCAAACUGGAUUUCAGAGGUACUUAUCCCUUCUGGCUGCAACCGCUAUCUACCUGCCAAGUUUUGCGAAGAAUCUUCAUGACUCCUCUUGAUCCGGUGGGUUCUGUAACUUUCUUUUGGAACUGACUUUCAUUUGGCCUCUCCAAGUUUUUGUGUUGUUUUCUGUUUACUUUUUAGCAAAAGAACUGUGAAACCUGAGGUCACAGCUUCAUCCAUGAUUUGACCUCCUUACUUCUUGAGCUACUCCUUCAGGCCCUGGAGCCCAGACUGGGUCCCGGCAGUGUGAACAGGAGAAAGAGCUCUCUGUAUAGCAUCCCCUCUUCUCGCCAUUUCCUAGCACCCCAUUCUCCUUGGCUUUCCACACUGGCGUUUGAUAAUACUGCACUUGUUGGCCUGUCCCAGCUAACUAGAACAGUCUCCUCCAGGCCUCACCAUGGCUCACUCCUUUAUCUCCUUCAAAUGUCCUAAUCACCCUAUUUAAAAUUGCAUACUCCACCCUUAGCCUGUAUCCUAUCCUCUUCCCCUGAUUUCAUUUAUUACCUGACACCAAAUAUGUUUUAUUUAUUUUCUGUCUCCACCCA